This 1132-nucleotide ribosomal RNA is filed under the name human gut metagenome. RNAcentral describes it as "bacterial LSU rRNA". It matches the Rfam family "Bacterial large subunit ribosomal RNA", at positions 1789 to 2925 of the family's 2925-position model. The record is from RNAcentral.
GGCCCAAGCAACUGUUUACCAAAAACACAGGUUUGUGCUAAAUCGAAAGAUGACGUAUACGAGCUGACGCCUGCCCGGUGCUGGAAGGUUAAGAGGAGAUGUGCAAGCAUUGAAUCGAAGCCCCAGUGAACGGCGGCCGUAACUAUAACGGUCCUAAGGUAGCGAAAUUCCUUGUCAGGUAAGUUCUGACCCGCAUGAAAGGCGUAAUGAUUUGGGCACUGUCUCGACAGCCCGCCCGGCGAAAUUGUAGUACCGGUGAAGAUGCCGGUUACCCGCGACAAGACGGAAAGACCCCAUGGAGCUUUACUGUAGCCUAAUAUUGGGUUUCGAUGUUGCAUGCACAGGAUAGAUGGGACACAGGGAAACAAGUGCUUUGGCAUUUGUGGAGUGGCCGUUGGGAUACCAUCCUUGCGAUAUUGGAAUUCUAACCUGCGCCUUUGAAUCAAGGCGGGGGACAUUGUUAGGUGGGCAGUUUGACUGGGGCGGUCGCCUCCUAAAGAGUAACGGAGGCGUUCAAAGGUUCGCUCAGCUUGAACGGAAAUCAAGCAAAAGAGUGCAAACGCAGAAGCGAGCCUAACUGCGAGACUGACGGGUCGAGCAGUAACGAAAGUUGGAGUUAGUGAUCCGGUGGUAUGUGAGUGGAAAUGCCAUCGCUCAACGGAUAAAAGUUACCCUGGGGAUAACAGGCUGAUCUCCCCCAAGAGUCCACAUCGACGGGGAGGUUUGGCACCUCGAUGUCGGCUCAUCGCAUCCUGGGGCUGAAGUAGGUCCCAAGGGUUGGGCUGUUCGCCCAUUAAAGCGGUACGCGAGCUGGGUUCAGAACGUCGUGAGACAGUUCGGUCCCUAUCUGUCGUGGGCGCAGGAUAUUUGAUGGGAGCUGUUCCUAGUACGAGAGGACCGGAGCGGACGUACCUCUGGCGCACCAGUUGUUCUGCCAAGGGCAUAGCUGGGCAACUAUGUACGGAUCGGAUAAACGCUGAAAGCAUCUAAGCGUGAAGCCGACCCAAAGAUAAGAUAUCCCAUUGUUUCAAACAAGUAAGACCCCUUGAAGACUACAAGGUUGAUAGGCACGAUGUGUAAGUGGAGCGAUCCAUUCAGCAAGCGUGUACUAAUAGGUCGAGGGCUUGACCAC